RNAcentral lists this ribosomal RNA (251 nucleotides) under uncultured prokaryote. RNAcentral describes it as "partial 16S rRNA". It matches the Rfam family "Bacterial small subunit ribosomal RNA", at positions 525 to 775 of the family's 1533-position model. The record is from RNAcentral.
ACGUAGGGGGCGAGCGUUGUCCGGAAUUACUGGGCGUAAAGCGCACGUAGGCGGGCUGUCAAGUCGGCCGUGAAAGGCACUGGCUCAACCGGUGUUUGUCGGUCGAUACUGGCGGUCUGGAGUAUGGGAGAGGGAACUGGAAUUCCCGGGGUGGCGGUGAAAUGCGUAGAUAUCGGGAGGAGGACCAGUGGCGAAGGCGGGGUCCGGGCCCAUUACUGAGGCUGAGGUGCGAAAGCCGGGGGAGCGAACGG